Small nuclear RNA from Nannospalax galili (Upper Galilee mountains blind mole rat), 184 nucleotides. RefSeq annotates it as U2 spliceosomal RNA. Lineage: Eukaryota; Metazoa; Chordata; Mammalia; Rodentia; Spalacidae. The transcript has a single exon. The record is from RefSeq and is a predicted model, not a curated record.
ACUGCUUCACGGCCUUUUGGUUAAGAUCAAGUGAAGUGUCUGUUCUUAUCAGUUUAAUUGUUUAAAAUUAUUAUUAUUAUUAUUAUUAUUAUUAUUUUAUGUGUGAGUGUAUUGCCUGCAUAUAUGUAGGUGCAUCCAUUUCAUGUAAUGCCCACAGAGGUCAGAAGAGAGCAUCAGAUCCCCU